CCUCCUUAAUAAAUGUAAUUUGACGUUUAUUUAAGACCCACACAAACUGCUUUUUAAAUAAUUGAGUGUUUUUGAGAGCAGGGCCUGUAGCUCAGCUGGUUAGAGCGCACCCCUGAUAAGGGUGAGGUCGGUAGUUCAAAUCUACCCAGGCCCACCAAUUGCUACAUUGGGGUCAUAGCUCAGCUGGGAGAGCACCUGCCUUGCAAGCAGGGGGUCGUCGGUUCGAUCCCGACUGGCUCCAUAACUUAAGCAAAUUUAAAACUUUAAAACUUAUUACCUCAAUGGCUUGGUUAAAAAAUAAUGCUCUAGUGAAGAUAGAGAAGUGAGUAUUAUUUUUUAGGCAAUUUUUUGUCUAAAUUCGAUGUUCUUUAACAAUUUGGUGUGAUUAAUAACGCGGUCUAAACGUGAUUGAAUGUUUUAAUUUUAUUAUUAAAAUAUUUGACUGCAGUUUAAGCUGGGUAAAAUGCAUUUUUAUAAGUCAAAAACUCAAGCAAAAUUUGUAUUCUUUAUAGGGGNA
This 517-nucleotide transfer RNA is filed under the name uncultured Gammaproteobacteria bacterium. RNAcentral's name for it is "partial 16S-23S ribosomal RNA intergenic spacer". The stretch from base 81 to 154 matches the Rfam family "tRNA". The record is from RNAcentral. Lineage: Bacteria; Pseudomonadati; Pseudomonadota; Gammaproteobacteria.